GUCGAGCGGAAUGAUGAAGAAGCUUGCUUCUUCUGAUUUUAGCGGCGGACGGGUGAGUAACACGUGGGCAACCUACCUUGUAGAUUGGGAUAACUCCGGGAAACCGGGGCUAAUACCGAAUAAACCAUUUUGCUUCAUGGCAAGAUGUUGAAAGGCGGCUUCGGCUGUCACUACUAGAUGGGCCCGCGGCGUAUUAGCUAGUUGGUAGGGUAAUGGCCUACCAAGGCGACGAUACGUAGCCGACCUGAGAGGGUGAUCGGCCACACUGGGACUGAGACACGGCCCAGACUCCUACGGGAGGCAGCAGUAGGGAAUCUUCCACAAUGGACGAAAGUCUGAUGGAGCAACGCCGCGUGAGUGAAGAAGGUUUUCGGAUCGUAAAACUCUGUUGUAAGGGAAGAACACGUACGAGAGUAACUGCUCGUACCUUGACGGUACCUUAUUAGAAAGCCACGGCUAACUACGUGCCAGCAGCCGCGGUAAUACGUAGGUGGCAAGCGUUGUCCGGAAUUAUUGGGCGUAAAGCGCGCGCAGGCGGUUCUUUAAGUCUGAUGUGAAAGCCCACGGCUCAACCGUGGAGGGUCAUUGGAAACUGGAGAACUUGAGUACAGAAGAGGAAAGCGGAAUUCCACGUGUAGCGGUGAAAUGCGUAGAGAUGUGGAGGAACAC
RNAcentral lists this ribosomal RNA (669 nucleotides) under Paenisporosarcina sp. G1_9. RNAcentral's name for it is "bacterial SSU rRNA". It matches the Rfam family "Bacterial small subunit ribosomal RNA", at positions 61 to 709 of the family's 1533-position model. The record is from RNAcentral. Lineage: Bacteria; Bacillati; Bacillota; Bacilli; Caryophanales; Caryophanaceae.